Molecule: ribosomal RNA, 575 nt
Filed under: uncultured archaeon
Lineage: Archaea
Description: partial 16S ribosomal RNA
Source: RNAcentral
CGUACUUCCCAGGUGGCUCGCUUCACGGCUUCCUACGGCACCGACAACGGUCGCACCGUGGCCGACACCUAGCGAGUAUCGUUUACGGCUAGGACUACCCGGGUAUCUAAUCCGGUUCGUGCCCCUAGCUUUCGUCCCUUGCCGUCAGGUCCGUUCUGGUGAGACGCCUUCGCCACUGGUGGUCCUUCAAGGAUUACAAGAUUUCACCCCUACCCCUGAAGUACCUCUCACCUCUCCCGGCCUCGAGCCAGACAGUAUCUCCUGAAAGCCUGACAGUUAAGCUGCCAGAUUUCUCAAGAGACUUAUCCGGCCGGCUACAGACCCUUUAGACCCAAUAAUAACGGUUACCACUCGAGCCGCCGGUGUUACCGCGGCGGCUGGCACCGGUCUUGCCCGGCCCUUGCUAUGAAAUGCUUUUUAGGCAUCUCGACAGCCAGAUUUGUAACCUGGCACUCGAGGUUCCCUUAUCGCUGUUGCCAGCAUUGUAAAGUUUUCGCGCCUGCUGCACCCCGUAGGGCCUGGAUUCGUGUCUCAGAAUCCAUCUCCGGGCUCUUGCUCUCACAACCCGUACCCGU